GAUGAACGCUGGCGACGUGCCUAAUACAUGCAAGUCGAACGGAAAGGCCCUGCUUUUGUGGGGUGCUCGAGUGGCGAACGGGUGAGUAACACGUGAGUAACCUGCCCUUGACUUUGGGAUAACUUCAGGAAACUGGGGCUAAUACCGGAUAGGAGCUCCUGCUGCAUGGUGGGGUUGGAAAGUUUCGGCGGUUGGGGAUGGACUCGCGGCUUAUCAGCUUGUUGGUGGGGUAGUGGCUUACCAAGGCUUUGACGGGUAGCCGGCCUGAGAGGGUGACCGGCCACAUUGGGACUGAGAUACGGCCCAGACUCCUACGGGAGGCAGCAGUGGGGAAUAUUGCACAAUGGGCGGAAGCCUGAUGCAGCAACGCCGCGUGCGGGAUGACGGCCUUCGGGUUGUAAACCGCUUUCGCCUGUGACGAAGCGUGAGUGACGGUAAUGGGUAAAGAAGCACCGGCUAACUACGUG
This 467-nucleotide ribosomal RNA is filed under the name uncultured bacterium. RNAcentral describes it as "partial 16S ribosomal RNA". It matches the Rfam family "Bacterial small subunit ribosomal RNA", at positions 28 to 507 of the family's 1533-position model. The record is from RNAcentral.